UUUGUAUGACUGGCCAGAUGGAUUGUUAUUGCACUGAUGCUUGACAUCUGAUCAAAAGGAUCUGGGAUAGCAGAGAUGCAGAGUCUGCCUGCUGAAUGUUUCUCUUCUGUAUGUUUUCAAAUCAUUGGUGACAUGUGGAUGACCUGAACAAUGAUCCUUGAUGACACAGUGAGUCCCAGUCCAUGCUUUCUGCCCACUGAAUGCGCUGGAAGAUGUCUAUGCUCAUGAGGAUGGUUGGCAACCAAUAGCACCAGACUGCAGCAGAGGAGCAGGCUUUCUCUGCACACCUGUGACAGUGAUGCUCGCUUGGUUCUCCUGCCUUGCCAGUGCCCUGCCUCCAGCUGCAUGCCGUGCGUGGCAGGGCAUCUGA
RNAcentral lists this long non-coding RNA (370 nucleotides) under Phasianus colchicus (ring-necked pheasant). Its description in RNAcentral is "lncRNA (ENSPCLG00000010967.1)". The record is from RNAcentral. Lineage: Eukaryota; Metazoa; Chordata; Aves; Galliformes; Phasianidae.